Molecule: transfer RNA, 79 nt
Filed under: Klebsiella aerogenes
Lineage: Bacteria; Pseudomonadati; Pseudomonadota; Gammaproteobacteria; Enterobacterales; Enterobacteriaceae
Description: tRNA-Tyr
Rfam family: tRNA
About the family: Transfer RNA (tRNA) molecules are approximately 80 nucleotides in length. Their secondary structure includes four short double-helical elements and three loops (D, anti-codon, and T loops).
Source: RNAcentral
GUGGGGUUCCCGAGCGGCCAAAGGGAGCAGACUGUAAAUCUGCCGUCAUCGACUUCGAAGGUUCGAAUCCUUCCCCGUA